RNAcentral lists this ribosomal RNA (885 nucleotides) under uncultured bacterium. RNAcentral describes it as "bacterial SSU rRNA". It matches the Rfam family "Bacterial small subunit ribosomal RNA", at positions 21 to 877 of the family's 1533-position model. The record is from RNAcentral.
GGCUCAGAACGAACGCUGGCGGCGUGGAUAAGACAUGCAAGUCGAGCGCUGAUUACAGGGUAGCAAUAUUCUGUAGUUGGAGCGGCGCAAGGGUGCGUAACACGUGGGUAAUCUGCCAUGAAGUCUGGGAUAACUCGCUGAAAGGCGAGCUAAUACCGGAUGUGACGAUUGGAAGGCAUCUUCUGAUUUUCAAAGCUGGGGACCGUAAGGCCUGGCGCUCCAUGAUGAGCCCGCGGCCUAUCAGCUAGUUGGUGAGGUAACGGCUCACCAAGGCUAAGACGGGUAGCUGGUCUGAGAGGACGACCAGCCACACUGGAACUGAGACACGGUCCAGACACCUACGGGUGGCAGCAGUCGAGAAUUUUUCACAAUGGGGGAAACCCUGAUGGAGCGACGCCGCGUGGGGGAUGAAUGGCUUCGGCCCGUAAACCCCUGUCAUUUGCGAACAAAUUGGUUCAAUUAAUAACUGAACCAUUGAUAGUAGCGAAAGAGGAAGGGACGGCUAACUCUGUGCCAGCAGCCGCGGUAAUACAGAGGUCCCAAGCGUUGUUCGGAUUCACUGGGCGUAAAGGGUGCGUAGGCGGUCGGGUAAGUCUGAUGUGAAAUCUCACAGCUUAACUGUGAAACUGCAUUGGAUACUAUUCGGCUAGAGAGUUGGAGGGGGGACUGGAAUUCUCGGUGUAGCAGUGAAAUGCGUAGAUAUCGAGAGGAACACCAGUGGCGAAGGCGAGUCCCUGGACAACUUCUGACGCUGAGGCACGAAAGCUAGGGGAGCAAACAGGAUUAGAUACCCUGGUAGUCCUAGCUGUAAACGUUGGGAACUAGGUGUGGGUCUCAUUCCACGAGAUCCGUGCCGCAGCUAACGCAUUAAGUUCCCCGCCUGGG